Molecule: ribosomal RNA, 687 nt
Filed under: Triticum aestivum (bread wheat)
Lineage: Eukaryota; Viridiplantae; Streptophyta; Magnoliopsida; Poales; Poaceae
Description: partial small subunit ribosomal RNA
Source: RNAcentral
AUGAGGUUGUAUAUCCCGCCGGAGGGCAUCCAUAGAUCCUUCGAUAAGGACCUAGCUAGAUUCUUUUGGCAGGCCGCUGAUGGUCGUCAGAAGUAUCACAUGGUCAAGUGGGCGGAUAUCUGCAUGCCCAAAGACCAAGGUGGCUUGGGUAUUGUAGCCUCCCAACGUAUGAAUGUCGCAAUAAUGCUAAGAUGGGUUUGGCGGAUAUUGCGCGACAAGGGAGGCCUAUGGCUCCAGCUCAUUCAGGCAAAAUAUCUUAGGGGCGAGCCCCUUUUGGCAUGCUCUCGGAUGGGAGGGUCACAGUUUUGGCGUUCCAUCCAGAGGAUCAAGGAGGAAAUCUGCCUAGGGAUUUCUUUCUCCAUAGGGAAUGGAAACGGGGCCAAAUUCUGGUUGGACCCAUGGUUGGGUACCGAGCCGAUACGCGUGAGCUACCCUGGCUUGUUCUUGAUCUGUGCGGACCUAUCCGCCCUUGUCUUUUCGACGCUACGGGAUGGACAGUGGCAGGUUAGAUCCCGUUGCACCUUUGGGCAAGCAGAGAGUGACGAUUGGAAAAGACUACGGGCUGCUCUCCCACACGUGCUGCCGGAGUAUCCGGACACUGUGUCAUGGAGGCUCGCCCGACAGCGGAGUUUUCGGUGUGCACGGCAUACCAUUCUCUACGCUGGUCACCAGACACACCCUGGUUAG